GGGGCCGUGGUCUAGACGGUUAUGACGUCGCCUUGACAUGGCGAAGGUCCCCGGUUCGAAUCCGGGCGGCCCCA
Molecule: transfer RNA, 74 nt
Filed under: archaeon
Lineage: Archaea
Also listed under: 1 other name
Description: tRNA-Val
Rfam family: tRNA
About the family: Transfer RNA (tRNA) molecules are approximately 80 nucleotides in length. Their secondary structure includes four short double-helical elements and three loops (D, anti-codon, and T loops). Further hydrogen bonds mediate the characteristic L-shaped molecular structure. tRNAs have two regions of fundamental functional importance: the anti-codon, which is responsible for specific mRNA codon recognition, and the 3' end, to which the tRNAs corresponding amino acid is attached (by aminoacyl-tRNA synthetases). tRNAs cope with the degeneracy of the genetic code in two manners: having more than one tRNA (with a specific anti-codon) for a particular amino acid; and 'wobble' base-pairing, i.e. permitting non-standard base-pairing at the 3rd anti-codon position.
Source: RNAcentral